GACGAACCGUGCGAACGUUAUUCGGAAUCACUGGGCUUAAAGGGCGCGUAGGCGGGCGGCCAAGUCAGGGGUGAAAGCCCCCAGCUCAACUGGGGAAGUGCCUCUGAUACUGGUCGCCUCGAGGGAGAUAGGGGCGUGCGGAACUUCCGGUGGAGCGGUGAAAUGCGUAGAUAUCGGAAGGAACACCGGUGGCGAAGGCAGGUCUCUGGGCUGACACUGACGCUCAUGCACGAAAGCGUGGGGAGCAAACAGG
This 253-nucleotide ribosomal RNA is filed under the name uncultured bacterium. Its description in RNAcentral is "partial 16S ribosomal RNA". It matches the Rfam family "Bacterial small subunit ribosomal RNA", at positions 524 to 776 of the family's 1533-position model. The record is from RNAcentral.